UACAGAGGGGGCAAGCGUUGUUCGGAAUUACUGGGCGUAAAGGGCGCGUAGGCGGCCUGUUAAGUCGGACGUGAAAUCCCUCGGCUCAACCGGGGAACUGCGUCCGAUACUGGCGGGCUUGAAUUCGGGAGAGGGAUGUGGAAUUCCCAGUGUAGCGGUGAAAUGCGUAGAUACUGGGAGGAACACCGGUGGCGAAGGCGGCUACCUGGACCGGUUCUGACGCUGAUGCGCGAAAGCGUGGGUAGCAAACAGG
Molecule: ribosomal RNA, 253 nt
Filed under: uncultured bacterium
Lineage: Bacteria
Description: partial 16S ribosomal RNA
Rfam family: Bacterial small subunit ribosomal RNA
Source: RNAcentral